CCAGCUUCUGCAUGGCGCUUGUGUGGCAUGUAGGAGAUGAAAUUAUUUUUUUUCGGGCUCUCCAACUGUGUCUGGGCUUUAUUAUGUGAGUUGGACUCCUUCGCAGAUUGGAUUUCCAAUUGGUGUAGGCUUCUGACUUUUGUUGGAGUUGGAUUCCCAGUAGGAAUGAGUUUGUGAUUCCUUCUUGACCCGGGUUGUCCAACCUGUAUAAAUACAGGGCUUCUCUUCACUCUUUCUCAUAUCACAAACUUAACUUCUCUACCUUCUGGCUUGAGAAAGAUUUUGGAGAAUUUGUACUGCUUGUUGAGGAGAGGAGUUGCCGUGCAUCCCAAGUAAGUCGAGCCCGUAAAAAUAUAUAUGUAUGUAUAUAUAUAUUUUUUAAUUUUUUGGCAGCAAGGAGAUGGUCCAGCAUGAGUUGCAAUUCGUGAGCAAUAGCUGCCAAAUAGCUGGGG
Molecule: long non-coding RNA, 452 nt
Filed under: Prunus persica (peach)
Lineage: Eukaryota; Viridiplantae; Streptophyta; Magnoliopsida; Rosales; Rosaceae
Description: long non-coding RNA (PPER_LNC001109)
Source: RNAcentral